Molecule: long non-coding RNA, 1252 nt
Filed under: Oryctolagus cuniculus (rabbit)
Lineage: Eukaryota; Metazoa; Chordata; Mammalia; Lagomorpha; Leporidae
Description: lncRNA (ENSOCUG00000031338.1)
Source: RNAcentral
GCUUCUCCCUGCUGCGUCAUGAAGUCGGACCCUUUGAGGAUUACCCAGCAGGAAGCAGUAUUCUGGAUCUCCAGGGGAGAGCAGUCGGCUCUUCCUUGCACCUCCUGCCUUACAUUUGAGAGAGAUAACUGUGUCAAAAACAUGUGCACCUGCUGCAUGGACAACAGUUAGAUUCCUGACUGUUGUUCAUGAACUGGUCUUGUCCACUUGGCAAUGAGCUAAUGGGACGUCGGGGACAGGGGUGUGGUCCCUGGGGUGAUCCCUCUUGGGUCACCUGGAGUUUUGUUGCAAACCUUGGCGGCGCCUGUCUCCACUGCCUUUGUUGGUUUUGGAUAAAGGAAAUGAGGCAGCUGGGGGUGCGGUGGUGUUUGAGCAUGCUAGGUGAACGGGGGUCAGUUACCAACCGGGGGGGGGGGGCGCGUGAGGGUGCAGGGGUGCUGGGCAUCUGACUGCUAGUGUUAGAAUUUUUUAAAAAAUCCUUUUAUGUUAGCAGGGUUUAUUAUUAGCAGAAAGAAAUUGAUAGUGUGGAGUUCUUUUCUACCCCAACUCAGGUUUCUUUCUAACGAAUGAUGUGAGUGUGGAGCCUUGGGUGUAAGAGUUGGGUCCCAGUUGACUGAGUUUUGAUAAAACCCAUACUUGAAGCUCACUGUAGUGUGUGCCCCAGGCCCCCUCCGCCUUGCAGGAGCCCUGCCAGGGUGCACACAGCACCGAGUCACUGUCUCCCCAGCAUCCUCUCGGCUGUGAUGGUUUCCUUGUUGCUAGUGAAGCUGACAGCUUUGGAGAGUGGAGGCAAAGGAGUCUGUGCUCCUUGUGACACAGUGUGGACAUGGAGGAAGGUCAGAGUUCAGCAGAACCAUGCUGGCGCCAUACCGUACCGGGUGCAGGCUUCCCCGGUGCCGAUAUUCCAGCUCGCUCUCCUGAGGAGGUACCAGACGUAGGUCAGUGCAGGCAUCACCCCGCCUUCCGCAUGGGCAGAAACGCUGCGAUUGGUCACGUGUGCUGCUCUAACUUGCUGCUCUGCCUUGAUGCACGACUGGCAGCUCUUCGGGACUGCCUGGCAGUGAGAGGCUGUCUGUCUGUCUGUCUGCAGCCCGGCGUGGGUGGCAGGGGAAGCGCAGGGCGUCUGCUUCCCCGAGGGCUGUAAACAGUAAUUAAAUAGACGUUUGCAUCCAGAUUCUGCUGUUUUAUUUCCUUCUUUGCAAACACACGCAGGAGUUGCAGCUCUGGGUAAUAAAUGGCAAGAAUCAUAGCA